Molecule: long non-coding RNA, 258 nt
Filed under: Physcomitrium patens
Lineage: Eukaryota; Viridiplantae; Streptophyta; Bryopsida; Funariales; Funariaceae
Description: long non-coding RNA (PPAT_LNC006755)
Source: RNAcentral
UUGGGUGAUUUGGAUUUGUAUUGACUUUGAAAUAGCUUUGCAAAGUAGAGGUUUGUUUUGGAUGACUUGGGUUUUAUGAAAUAAAAUAGGGUUUAUGUUUUGAGUGAUUUUGAGAGUUUUGUUGCAGAUCUACGGGUGAAUUUUUUUUGUUUUAUGAUUAUAGUUUUUUGCAAUGCAUAUUGUGAAUUCGAGCUCAAUCUAACGGUUAAAGUGAGAGAUAUUGAGGUUUAAGCGGGUCAAGGUCUCAAAAAGUAGAAU